Molecule: ribosomal RNA, 458 nt
Filed under: uncultured bacterium
Lineage: Bacteria
Description: partial 16S ribosomal RNA
Rfam family: Bacterial small subunit ribosomal RNA
Source: RNAcentral
CCUACGGGCGGCAGCAGUGAGGAAUAUUGGUCAAUGGGCGGGAGCCUGAACCAGCCAAGCCGCGUGAGGGAAGAAGGUACAGCGUAUCGUAAACCUCUUUUGUCAGGGAACAAAGGCGGGACUAGUCCCCGGAUGAGGGUACCUGAAGAAAAAGCAUCGGCUAACUCCGUGCCAGCAGCCGCGGUCAUACGGAGGAUGCGAGCGUUAUCCGGAUUUAGUGGGUUUAAAGGGUGCGCAGGCGGCCUGGUAAGUCAGCGGUAAAAGCCCGGGGCUCAACCCCGUCGAGCCGUUGAAACUGGCGGGCUGGAGUUGGAGAGAAGUACGUGGAUGGCGCGGUGUAGCGGUGAAAGGCUUAGAUAUCGCGCAGAACCCCGAUUGCGAAGGCAGCGUACCGGCUCCACACUGACGCUGAGGCACGAAAGCGUGGGUAUCGAACAGGAUUAGAUACCCGGGUAGUC